GCUCAGGACGAACGCUGGCGGCGUGCCUAAUACAUGCAANGUCGANGCGGACUUGAUGGAGUGCUUGCACUCCUGAUGGUUAGCGGCGGACGGGUGAGUAACACGUAGGUAACCUGCCCAUAAGACUGGGAUAACCCACGGAAACGUGAGCUAAUACCAGAUAGGCAUUUUCCUCGCAUGAGGGAAAUGAGAAAGGCGGAGCAAUCUGUCACUUAUGGAUGGACCUGCGGCGCAUUAGCUAGUUGGUGAGGUAACGGCUCACCAAGGCGACGAUGCGUAGCCGACCUGAGAGGGUGAUCGGCCACACUGGGACUGAGACACGGCCCAGACUCCUACGGGAGGCAGCAGUAGGGAAUCUUCCGCAAUGGACGAAAGUCUGACGGAGCAACGCCGCGUGAGUGAUGAAGGUUUU
This 412-nucleotide ribosomal RNA is filed under the name Paenibacillus alvei. RNAcentral's name for it is "bacterial SSU rRNA". It matches the Rfam family "Bacterial small subunit ribosomal RNA", at positions 22 to 418 of the family's 1533-position model. The record is from RNAcentral. Lineage: Bacteria; Bacillati; Bacillota; Bacilli; Caryophanales; Paenibacillaceae.